UCCUCUGUAAAGCUCACCGCUCAUCACGGCGAUUGAAAUUUUAAACCUUGGUCUCAGGAGCGUCGUGCUCCACCUGGCUUAAAGACAGCAAGGGAUCAUCUCCUCUGAGACACAAGACCUUAGAAAGCCUUGGACAGAAGUGAGACCGGAGCUGGUGGCGUUAGGUCCGGCUGCGUGCUGCUCAAAAAUCAAUACGCAAGAGAGAGAGACAGAUGUUGGCAGAAAGGAAAGAUGCUUUUAGUCAGAAUGCCAGCCCUCUGGGGAGACGGUGGACUCAACGUCCCCCAGAAACCAUCUCCGAAGAUUCUGCUCGGCCAUGAAAGUUUUUAAAGGGAAACAGGGAAGUCAUCUCAGUUAGUCAUUGAGAUGGGGGGUCAGAGUGCUCUCCAUCCCCCAC
Lagenorhynchus albirostris (white-beaked dolphin) is the source of this 397-nucleotide long non-coding RNA. RefSeq lists it as uncharacterized. The record is from RefSeq and is a predicted model, not a curated record. The transcript is spliced from 3 exons. Lineage: Eukaryota; Metazoa; Chordata; Mammalia; Artiodactyla; Delphinidae.